Molecule: ribosomal RNA, 460 nt
Filed under: uncultured bacterium
Lineage: Bacteria
Description: partial 16S ribosomal RNA
Rfam family: Bacterial small subunit ribosomal RNA
Source: RNAcentral
CCUACGGGAGGCAGCAGUGAGGAAUAUUGGUCAAUGGACGAGAGUCUGAACCAGCCAAGUAGCGGGAAGGAUGACUGCCCUAUGGGUUGUAAACUUCUUUUAUAUGGGAAUAAACUGUUCCACGUGUGGGAUUUUGUAUGUACCAUAUGAAUAAGGAUCGGCUAAAUCCGUGCCAGCAGCCGCGGUAAUACGGAGGAUCCGAGCGUUAUCCGGAUUUCUUGGGUUUAAAGGGAGCGUAGGUGGAUUGUUAAGUCAGUUGUGAAAGUUUGCGGCUCAACCGUAAAAUUGCAGUUGACACUGGCAGUCUUGAGUACAGGAGAGGUGGGCGGAAUGCGUGGGGUAGCGGUGAAAUGCUUAGAUAUCACGAAGAACUCCGAUUGCGAAGGCAGCUCACUGGACUGCAACUGACACUGAGGCUCGAAAGUGUGGGUAUCAAACAGGAUUAGAUACCCCUGUAGUC